Molecule: long non-coding RNA, 571 nt
Organism: Scophthalmus maximus (turbot)
Lineage: Eukaryota; Metazoa; Chordata; Actinopteri; Pleuronectiformes; Scophthalmidae
Exons: 3
Source: RefSeq, a predicted model, not a curated record
CGCUCGCGAUGCUCACAGGGGCUGAUGGGAGAUUUAUGUAAUGAGCCUUUAGCUGCGGCAGUCGGAUUGGUCAGCGGCAGGCGCGAGAACAAAGGAUCUGCCCCGCCCCCUCCUGCGUCACUCACAGAGACACACCGGAAACACGUCACUGUCGUGUCACUCCGGUAACACUUACAUUCAAAUAUCAGAGAAGAUGAUUCGGAUCCAUUCGGAUCCAUAGAUGCAGGACUCACAUCAGAGCAGCCACGUGUUCCAGGGAUCACUGCGGUCUAACUUCCGGGUUCCGCCCCUUCAAAUGCUCCACAGACACACGUGACCGUCGUUUUGCUGCGUUGAUUGGGUUUUUUCAACGGGAGUUUCUCACCCAGCGCCUUCGUCUUCAGCCUCCACUCAGCAGAGCAGCGGGAGAGGAGCAGACAAGUGCGCUUCAGACGCAACGUGAUCACGACGUGAGGAGGAAGACGACGUGAGGACGAUGUGAGGAGGAAGACGACGUGAAGACGAUGUGAGGAGGAAGACGACGUGAAGACGACGUGAAGACGACGUGAGGAGGAAGACGAUGUGAGGACGA